UUAGAGGAAGUAAAAGUCGUAACAAGGUCUCCGUUGGUGAACCAGCGGAGGGAUCAUUACUGAGUUUACGCUCUACAACCCUUUGUGAACAUACCUAUAACUGUUGCUUCGGCGGGUAGGGUCUCCGUGACCCUCCCGGCCUCCCGCCCCCGGGCGGGUCGGCGCCCGCCGGAGGAUAACCAAACUCUGAUUUAACGACGUUUCUUCUGAGUGGUACAAGCAAAUAAUCAAAACUUUUAACAACGGAUCUCUUGGUUCUGGCAUCGAUGAAGAACGCAGCGAAAUGCGAUAAGUAAUGUGAAUUGCAGAAUUCAGUGAAUCAUCGAAUCUUUGAACGCACAUUGCGCCCGCCAGCAUUCUGGCGGGCAUGCCUGUUCGAGCGUCAUUUCAACCCUCAAGCUCUGCUUGGUGUUGGGGCCCUACAGCUGAUGUAGGCCCUCAAAGGUAGUGGCGGACCCUCCCGGAGCCUCCUUUGCGUAGUAACUUUACGUCUCGCACUGGGAUCCGGAGGGACUCUUGCCGUAAAACCCCCAANUCCAAAGGUGACCUCGAUC
Molecule: ribosomal RNA, 554 nt
Filed under: Colletotrichum viniferum
Lineage: Eukaryota; Fungi; Ascomycota; Sordariomycetes; Glomerellales; Glomerellaceae
Description: eukaryotic LSU rRNA
Rfam family: 5.8S ribosomal RNA (bases 232-385)
Source: RNAcentral